RNAcentral lists this ribosomal RNA (422 nucleotides) under uncultured bacterium. RNAcentral describes it as "partial 16S ribosomal RNA". It matches the Rfam family "Bacterial small subunit ribosomal RNA", at positions 360 to 774 of the family's 1533-position model. The record is from RNAcentral.
AAUAUUCGACAAUGUGCGAAAGCCGGCUUCAGCCAUCCCGCGUGUUUGAAGAAGUCCUUCGGAUGGUAAAGCACUUUAAGUUGGGAGGAGGUGCAGUGAGUUAAUACCUUGCUGUUGUUACGUUACCGACAAAAUAAGCACCCGCUCACUUCGUGCCAGCAGCCGCGGCAAUAAGAAGGGUGCAAGCGUUAAUCGGAAUUACUGGGCGUAAAGCGCGCGUAGGUGGUUUGUUAAGUUGGAAGUGAGAGCCCCGGGCUCAACCUGGGAACUGCUUUCGAAGCUGGCAAGCUAGAGUAUGGCAGAGGGUGGUGGAAUUUCCUGUGUAGCGGUGAAAUGCGUAGAUAUAGGAAGGAACACCAGUGGAGAAGGCGACCACCUGGGCUAAUACUGACACUGAGGUGAGAAAGAGUGGGGAGCAAACA